Molecule: ribosomal RNA, 264 nt
Filed under: uncultured bacterium
Lineage: Bacteria
Description: partial 16S ribosomal RNA
Rfam family: Bacterial small subunit ribosomal RNA
Source: RNAcentral
GUCCACGCCGUAAAACGUUGGGCACUAGGUGUGGGUCUCUAUCGACGGGAUCCGUGCCGUAGCUAACGCAUUAAGUGCCCCGCCUGGGGGAGUACGGCCGCAAGGCUAAAACUCAAAGGAAUUGACGGGGGCCCGCACAAGCGGCGGAGCGUGUGGCUUAAUUCGAUGCAACGCGAAGAACCUUACCUGGGCUUGACAUUUAGGGAAAAGCCGGUGAAAGCCGGUGUGCUUCGGCGUCCUAAACAGGUGGUGCAUGGCUGUCGU